GUCCAGACUCCUACGGGAGGCAGCAGUGGGGGAUAUUGCACAAUGGGGGGAACCCUGAUGCAGCGACGCCGCGUGGGUGAAGAAGCGCCUCGGCGCGUAAAGCCCUGUCAGCAGGGAAGAAAAUGACGGUACCUGAAGAAGAAGCCCCGGCUAACUACGUGCCAGCAGCCGCGGUAAUACGUAGGGGGCAAGCGUUAUCCGGAUUUACUGGGUGUAAAGGGGGCGCAGACGGCGAUGCAAGCCAGGAGUGAAAGCCCGGGGCCCAACCCCGGGACUGCUCUUGGAACUGCGUGGCUGGAGUGCAGGAGGGGCAGGCGGAAUUCCUGGUGUAGCGGUAAAAUGCGUAGAUAUCAGGAGGAACAUCGGUGGCGAAAGCGCUUUACUGGACCAUUAUUGACGCUGAGGAACGAAAGCCAGGGGAGCAAAUGGGAUUAGAUACCCUAGUA
This 446-nucleotide ribosomal RNA is filed under the name uncultured bacterium. RNAcentral describes it as "bacterial SSU rRNA". It matches the Rfam family "Bacterial small subunit ribosomal RNA", at positions 329 to 792 of the family's 1533-position model. The record is from RNAcentral.